Molecule: transfer RNA, 86 nt
Filed under: TM7 phylum sp. oral taxon 349
Lineage: Bacteria; Candidatus Saccharimonadota
Also listed under: 4 other names
Description: tRNA-Leu
Rfam family: tRNA
About the family: Transfer RNA (tRNA) molecules are approximately 80 nucleotides in length. Their secondary structure includes four short double-helical elements and three loops (D, anti-codon, and T loops).
Source: RNAcentral
GCGCAGAUGGUGGAACUGGUAGACACGUUAGACUUAAAAUCUGAUGCCCAAAAGGCGUGCGGGUUCGAUUCCCGCUCUGCGCACCA